GACGAACGCUGGCGGCGUGCUUAACACAUGCAAGUCGAACGGAAAGGCCCUGCUUUUGUGGGGUGCUCGAGUGGCGAACGGGUGAGUAACACGUGAGUAACCUGCCCUUGACUUUGGGAUAACUUCAGGAAACUGGGGCUAAUACCGGAUAGGAGCUCCUGCGGCAUGGUGGGGGUUGGAAAGUUUCGGCGGUUGGGGAUGGACUCGCGGCUUAUCAGCUUGUUGGUGGGGUAGUGGCUUACCAAGGCUUUGACGGGUAGCCGGCCUGAGAGGGUGAACGGCCACAUUGGGACUGAGAUACGGCCCAGACUCCUACGGGAGGCAGCAGUGGGGAGUCUGGCACAAUGGGCGGAAGCCUGAUACAGCAACGCCGCGUGCGGGAUGACGGCCUUCGGGUUGUAAACCGCUUUCGCCUGUGACGAAGCGGGAGUGACGGUAAUUGGUAAAGAAGCACCGGCUAACUACGUG
RNAcentral lists this ribosomal RNA (468 nucleotides) under uncultured bacterium. RNAcentral describes it as "partial 16S ribosomal RNA". It matches the Rfam family "Bacterial small subunit ribosomal RNA", at positions 28 to 507 of the family's 1533-position model. The record is from RNAcentral.